GAAUGAUGUGAAGAUUGUAGUAUAUUGAUAGCUGUUAUGAUAGCUCCUUAUCAUGAAUUAGCUCUAGCUUAUCAUUC
Small nucleolar RNA from Salvia splendens (bonfire salvia), 77 nucleotides. RefSeq annotates it as small nucleolar RNA Z102/R77. Lineage: Eukaryota; Viridiplantae; Streptophyta; Magnoliopsida; Lamiales; Lamiaceae. The record is from RefSeq and is a predicted model, not a curated record. The transcript has a single exon.